UACGGAGGGGGCUAGCGUUGUUCGGAAUUACUGGGCGUAAAGCGCACGUAGGCGGCUUUGCAAGUUAGAGGUGAAAGCCCGGGGCUCAACCCCGGGAGGCGGGUGGAUACUGCUCAGCUCGAGUCCGGAAGAGGAGUGUGGAAUUCCUGGUGUAGCGGUGAAAUGCGCAGAUAUCAGGAGGAACACCAAUGGCGAAGGCAGCACUCUGGGACGGUACUGACGCUGAGACGCGAAAGCGUGGGGAGCAAACAGG
Molecule: ribosomal RNA, 253 nt
Filed under: uncultured bacterium
Lineage: Bacteria
Description: partial 16S ribosomal RNA
Rfam family: Bacterial small subunit ribosomal RNA
Source: RNAcentral